UUGGAGGGCAAGUCUGGUGCCAGCAGCCGCGGUAAUUCCAGCUCCAAUAGCGUAUAUUAAAGUUGUUGCAGUUAAAAAGCUCGUAGUUGAAUUUCGGGAUUAGUACGCUGGUCGUGCCUUCGGUACGUACUGGUGUUACUGAUUCCUACCUUCUGACGAACCAUCAUGUCAUUUAUUUGGUGUGGUGGGGAAUCUGGACUGUUACUUUGAAAAAAUUAGAGUGUUUAAAGCAGGCUCGCGCUUGAAUACAUUAGCAUGGAAUAAUGAAAUAGGACGUCGAUCCUAUUUUGUUGGUUUCUAGGAUUGACGUAAUGAUUAAUAGGGAUAGUUGGGGGCAUUAGUAUUCAAUUGUCAGAGGUGAAAUUCUUGGAUUUAUUGAAGACUAACUACUGCGAAAGCAUUUGCCAAGGAUGUUUUCAUUAAUCAAGAACGAAAGUUAGGGGAUCGAAGACGAUCAGAUACCGUCGUAGUCUUAACCAUAAACUAUGCCGACUAGGGAUCGGAUGAUGUUAUUUUUAAUGACUCAUUCGGCGCCUUACGGGAAAC
This 546-nucleotide ribosomal RNA is filed under the name uncultured Glomeromycotina. Its description in RNAcentral is "SSU rRNA". It matches the Rfam family "Eukaryotic small subunit ribosomal RNA", at positions 548 to 1098 of the family's 1831-position model. Lineage: Eukaryota; Fungi; Glomeromycota. The record is from RNAcentral.